GCAAUAGUAGCUCAGCGCCAG
Molecule: transfer RNA, 21 nt
Filed under: Gobiomorphus coxii (Cox's gudgeon)
Lineage: Eukaryota; Metazoa; Chordata; Actinopteri; Gobiiformes; Eleotridae
Description: partial tRNA-Thr
Source: RNAcentral